This 460-nucleotide ribosomal RNA is filed under the name uncultured bacterium. RNAcentral's name for it is "bacterial SSU rRNA". It matches the Rfam family "Bacterial small subunit ribosomal RNA", at positions 338 to 795 of the family's 1533-position model. The record is from RNAcentral.
CCUACGGGUCGCAGCAGUGAGGAAUAUUGAACAAUGGGUGGAAGCCUGAUCCAGCCAUCCCGCGUGCAGGAAGACGGCCCUAUAGGUUGUAAACUGCUUUUAUCUGGGGAUAAACCUACUUACGUGUAAGUAGCUGAAGGUACCAGAAGAAUAUGCACCGGCUAACUCCGUGCCAGCAGCCGCGAUAAUACGGAGGGUGCAAGCGUUAUCCGGAUUUAUUGGGUUUAAAGGGUCCGUAGGCGGACUAGUAAGUCAGUGGUGAAAUCCGACAGCUUAACUGUCGAACUGCCAUUGAUACUGCUAGUCUUGAGUAAGGUUGAAGUGGCUGGAAUAAGUAGUGUAGCGGUGAAAUGCAUAGAUAUUACUUAGAACACCAAUUGCGAAGGCAGGUCACUAAGUCUUAACUGACGCUGAUGGACGACAGCGUGGGGAGCGAACGGGAUUAGAUACCCUAGUAGUC